RNAcentral lists this transfer RNA (358 nucleotides) under Microcystis aeruginosa MP06H7. Its description in RNAcentral is "partial 16S-23S ribosomal RNA intergenic spacer". The stretch from base 133 to 206 matches the Rfam family "tRNA". The record is from RNAcentral. Lineage: Bacteria; Bacillati; Cyanobacteriota; Cyanophyceae; Chroococcales; Microcystaceae.
AAGGGAGACCUAAUUCAGGUAUAAGACGAAAAAAAAGUAGUCCCUACCAAGAAUCAAUCCCAAAAGGUCGGAACGAGGUAUGAGGCUUUCAAACUAGGUUCUGGGUUCAUAAAAGACCUGAAUCAGGAACAAGGGCUAUUAGCUCAGGUGGUUAGAGCGCACCCCUGAUAAGGGUGAGGUCCCUGGUUCGAGUCCAGGGUGGCCCACCUGCACAGGUGGCAAAAACAAGAGAAGCGAGGAAUCAGCACCUUAUCUUAUAUACAUAUAUAAGAGAGAAUGCUGGCUCUGAGUACAGAGUCCAGAGGAACCUUGAAAACUGCAUAGAGCUAGGUGAAAAAGCCAAAAAAGAAGACCGCAA